Transfer RNA from Penicillium decumbens, 72 nucleotides. It matches the Rfam family "tRNA". Rfam says of the family: Transfer RNA (tRNA) molecules are approximately 80 nucleotides in length. The record is from Rfam. Lineage: Eukaryota; Fungi; Ascomycota; Eurotiomycetes; Eurotiales; Aspergillaceae.
GCCGGGGUAGCACAAUGGUAGUGCGUGGAGCUUUUAACUCCAAGGUUGUGGGUUCGAGCCCCACCUCCGGCG